RNAcentral lists this ribosomal RNA (469 nucleotides) under Photorhabdus luminescens. RNAcentral describes it as "bacterial SSU rRNA". It matches the Rfam family "Bacterial small subunit ribosomal RNA", at positions 45 to 501 of the family's 1533-position model. The record is from RNAcentral. Lineage: Bacteria; Pseudomonadati; Pseudomonadota; Gammaproteobacteria; Enterobacterales; Morganellaceae.
GGCCUAACACAUGCAAGUCGAGCGGUAACAGGAAAGUGCUUGCACUUUUGCUGACGAGCGGCGGACGGGUGAGUAAUGUCCUGGGAUCUGCCCGAGGGCGGGGGAUAACCACUGGAAACGGUGGCUAAUACCGCAUAAUGUCGCAAGACCAAAGUGGGGGACCUGAAAGGCCCUCACGCCCUUGGAUGAACCCAGAUGGGAUUAGCUAGUAGGUAGGGUAAUGGCCUACCUAGGCGACGAUCCCUAGCUGGUCUGAGAGGAUGACCAGCCACACUGGGACUGAGACACGGCCCAGACUCCUACGGGAGGCAGCAGUGGGGAAUAUUGCACAAUGGGCGCAAGCCUGAUGCAGCCAUGCCGCGUGUAUGAAGAAGGCCUUCGGGUUGUAAAGUACUUUCAGCGGGGAGGAAGGGUAUGGCCUGAAGAGGGCGAUAGCUUGACGUUACCCGCAGAAGAAGCACCGGCUAAC